This is an RNA transcript of Cervus elaphus (red deer), 502 nucleotides long. It is a transcript of the gene named 40S ribosomal protein S15-like, with no coding region annotated. The record is from RefSeq and is a predicted model, not a curated record. The transcript has 2 exons. NCBI's taxonomy places the organism in Eukaryota, Metazoa, Chordata, Mammalia, Artiodactyla, Cervidae.
UGAGAAAACCAGCAAGAUGGCGGAAGUGGAAGAGAAGAAGAAGCGGACCUUCCGCAAGUUCACCUACCACAGCAUAGACCUCGAUCAGCUGCUGGACAUGUCCUGUGAGCAACUGAUGCAGCUAUACAGUGCGCGCCAGCGACGGCGGCUGAACCGCGGCCUGUGGAGGAAGCAGCACUCGCUGCUGAAGGCUGUGCAAGGCCAAGAAAGACGCGCCGCCCAUGGAGAAGCUCGAGGUCGUGAAGACGCACCUACGCGACAUGAUCAUUCUGCCCCAGAUGGUGGGCAGCAUGGUGGGCGUCUACAAGGGCAAGACCUUCAACCAGGUGGAAAUCAAGCCUGAGAUGAUCGGCCACUACCUGGGCGAGUUCUCCAUCACCUACAAGCCCGUGAAACAUGGCCGGCCCGGUAUCGGGGCUACCCAUUUCUCCGGCUUCAUCCCCCUCAAGUAACCUGCUGGCUAAUAAAAGCAGAGCGUUCUCUAAAAAAAAAAAAAAAAAAA